This is a long non-coding RNA of Biomphalaria glabrata, 1223 nucleotides long. RefSeq lists it as uncharacterized. The record is from RefSeq and is a predicted model, not a curated record. Lineage: Eukaryota; Metazoa; Mollusca; Gastropoda; Planorbidae. The transcript is spliced from 3 exons.
CAGUCGAUAAAAUAUUUUUCAAGUAGUCAGUCGUUCUUCUAAGAGCUCUGUUUUAAAAGCCUUUGUGAUAUUAUGUGUUAAUUGAUCUGUAACUUGUACAUAAGCUGUACUUACGUUUUAUAUUUAAAUAAAGUUCCAGAGUUUUGUUUUUACAUUAUUGUGAUUCUAGAUCGUCAUUUAUUCAACUAUUUUAAUUCAAGUAAAAUCCCCGGCAUCACAACACAUCGUACCAUCUUACAUCGUAACAUAGAGUGUUGUGACAUAUUUGACAAUCUCCGACUAAUAAAAGUUUAUGGACAACUUUUAACGAAAUUUAUUCAAGAUCUAGGACCAAUUUCUAAACUCUUCAAAGGAACUUCAUUCUUAUUUAACGGAGGACAGAAUUUCUGUGUUUAACAGACUUGAAGUACUACUGGUAGCAGAAUGAAAUCCCUGCCUCCAAAGAUUGGUUAGAAUCUCACCAAGUUAAUUGUGAUAUCAACUAGAUCUAUUCUAUAAAGGAUUCAAGCGAUGGUGGUGACGAAUUUUGAUGAAAUAUUCUGGAAGAUAUUCAUCGACAAGUUUAACUGCGCUACACCACACUGUUAUCCAAAUCUUUAAACAGAGUGUGUGGGAUUAAACCUUUUGGAGAUAUAAAAGUAACUUAAGAAGAGUGCUACUCAAUUUACAAGAGUCUAUCAGAACAAACAAAUUAUACAACGAAGUAAACUUGGUGCAACACAAAAUACGAUUACGUCGAUUCACUCAUGAUAUAGAAACUUUUGGACCAAAUCUAGAUUUACUAAUCCAGAAAAAGAAAAUUGUUCUAUUUUAGCUGCUGUGGGACAAAUUAAUGUACAUUUUUGAAAGUUAGAAUUAACUCUUUUUUUCAUUUAAACUAAAUGUUUAUCUAAACUGUUUCUAUUUCUCAACAUUACAAACGACAAAUUUACCCGUUUCCUGAGUAUAAACACAAAGACUAUUACAGUCACUAUUAACACUGCUUUGGUCCAUUUGACUCUAGACAAUCUGAAAUUGUAAAAUAUUUGUGAUGCAUGAGUCUUUAUUUUUCUUUGACUAAUUUCGACUGGAAAAAUAUUAUAGUAGAAUUACAAUGUCAAUAUCGUAAAAAAUGACAUUUCACUUAUGAUAUAUGGAGGUUAUAUGAUGUAGUGAUUGUUUUUAAUGAAGCAAAUCUUUUAUCAUUGAAAUGAUUUUUCUCAUUUACGAAUAUUAAACGAAAG